CCCCGUCGUCUGGCUGCUCUCCGUUGGAAUCGCAUCACCUCGCUCUAGACAUACUUUUCAUCUUCGUUGUUUAUACUUAAUAAUCCUCUUUUUUAUCUACUCCAGUGUAUUUUUCUUGUUCAUAAGUGUAUCUAUUUCGUUCAGCGCUUUGUAUUUCUUCUGUAUAUUACGUGUUUUUGUGCAUAUUCCAUCGUUUUCGACGCGGCCGUCGACGGACACCACGCCGCUUCGUUCGCCGCUCCCGGGGUCACCCUCAGAAGCCACAUGACGGGCGGUACAACCUGCUGUGUACCGGGCUGUGCCCACACCACUCUCACUGCCAAGCAUGUGUCCUGGAAUCGCUUUCCGAAGAACAGCCAUCUACGCAACAUUUGGGUACAGCGAAUCAACAGGAAAGGUACCACUGGACGGUUCUCUCUGUGGACGCCAACCUCUGACAGCAGAAUAUGCGGCGCUCAUUUUAACGAAACUGGGAGAAAGAAGUACGAGGACAAAGCUCCCCGGUUUUUUCCAACCAGGACAUUUCCGAAGUAUGUUGCGGCCUGCCCAAAGGUCCCAAACAUGAUCUGCGCAAGGAAGCGCCAUGCGCUGCAGCCGCUGCCGGCCUACUUUCUGUCGGACCUUGACCUGGCACAGACCGUGACCCUGCCUGCUAGCCAGGAGCCAGCACAACCCGGCAGCCCCUUGGCCUCCGCUGGUGCCCCUGACACUGAUGAUGUAAUAGCUAGCGACCACCAGUACAGCAUCACAGGAUGUAUCGAUCAAGCCCUGCGUGAUCGCAUCAGGCAGCUAGAGGAGCUCGCUUCUGCAAACGAGAAACUGCGCAAGGACAACGACCGUCUACAGAAAGAAAAUGAAGCUCUGCGGAAGAAAGUAGCCCAUCUUGAGGAGAUGUAUGACAAAGCAGAGGAGGUCAUCGAUGCUACAAUCCCCUUUCAGAACUUCACGCUCACAGCCGUGCAACAGGACCCAAAGAAACUGGCCUUCUACACGGGAUUCGACUCCCUGGAGAGAUUUCUCGCCUUUUACAAGUUUGUUCAGGCAGGUUAUGAAGCUCACAAGGAAAGUCAAGGUCCGCAGAGAAGGUCACCUUAUCUAUCCAUGGAUGAUCAGCUGCUGCUCGUGUUGUCCCGCCUGAGGGUGGGACUUUUGGAGCAGGACCUUGCAUACCGGUUUCGUAUCCACAUCAGCACAGUCAGCCGGGUGUGGACAUUCUGGAUUGGUUACCUAGCGGACUACCUUGCUCAACUCAACUACUGGCCGUCGCGACAGGUUGUGAACAAGCACAUGCCGGAGUGCUUCAUCGAGGCGUAUCCAUCGACGAGAGUCAUUCUGGAUUGCACGGAAAUCUUCAUCGAGACACCUAGCGACUUCAGGGUGCAGAGUGAUACCUACUCAAGCUACAAGUGCCACAACACUGCCAAGGGACUGCUGGGCAUCACCCCCAAUGGGUUCGUGUCGUUCGUGAGCGACCUUGCCCCUGGCCGCGUCUCUGACAAAGCCCUGACCGCAUGUUCCGGGCUAUGCAACCUUCUUGAGCCCGGAGACUCUGUCAUGGCGGACAGAGGCUUUUUGAUCACUGAAGAGGUCGAAGCUGCAGGGGCUAACCUGAACAUUCCACCUUUCCUUGGGGGAAGGCUACAGCUCUCCCUGGAGGACGAAGCGAAAACUAGGGCGAUUGCGAAGGUCCGGAUCCACGUGGAACGAGUGAUUGGACAAAUGAAGUGUUUUCGAAUCUUGAGGGGUACUUUCCCAAACAGUAUGAGCAAGAGCCUGGACUCUAUCUGGAAGGUCUGUGCUUUGCUGUGCAAUUUCACGAGAGAGCCACUGCUCAGUCGAAGCUAGAGCUGCAGUCUUGUGGCUUCGUAGAUGGUCGUGGAGAAAAAAGAGGCCAUAUCUCUCUAUCUAGCUCACUUCAGCUCCGGCAACUUUUUGUGCCCACACGCCCUCAUGACCCAUGACGACCAUUAGCACCGACUACGGCCCUCGGGACUUUCCUCUACCCAACGAAAUGGACUCACAACCCACCGAGGCCACGCUGGCUUCUCCCGCUGUCUGAAGCUUACCGCUCAAUGCACCACCCACAGCCGGUGCAACCACUCCUGCCGUCACGUCGCUUCUUGAUGCACCACUUGUUGCCGCGUGAAUUCAACCUGCGGUCUUUACUCAGAAUCCAUUCUCCAUCCUCGGCGACGAUGAUCCCGAAAGCAAGUUGUCGCCCCUCAACAACAGUUGCCACAUCCGCACUGCCGCCAAUGAAACGAAGCGUGCUCGUGGCAUUUUUUUCUUCGGCGCCGCUGCGACUAAGCUUACCACCUCACCCCGGUGCAUCCAACGUGACUCGAACCCUGACUCGUUCCCCCUGGAGGACGGAUGGCAUCCUGUCUCUCGCCGACGUAAGGCGGCCCCGCCCGCGGCGCCUCCAGCAGCAUCGUUCUGCAGUGAGUUCUCCCACACUGUCAUUCUACGGCCGGCCAAACCAUGCCGCAUCAUGGACGGGGUCUUUCUUGCCAUUGACUCUGCAGUUGCUGCACAGAUAGACCUCAGGUCUCCUACACCAUUGCAGCCCCCUACCAAGUGAGGUCUCCGUGCAAGGCUACGAGGCCAUUCGCCGUGGCCAGGUUCGCGGAUUCAUAAAAAAAGUCUGGCGACCUGGAUUCUGCGUCCUAAAAAACCUUCAUUGCCGGAAAUCUGCUAUCCUCCAGGCCGGUCCUCUCACAAACUCUGGGUCGGCACUCAUUACAUUCGACGGCACCAGCCUCGCGUUGCCCAGUGCCCCAACAGCACCCAAGCCAACGGCACAACACAGCGUCGUCAGUUGCCUUCAUCAACAUCCAAAGAGAAGCCGGCGUCACCACCAGUGACGCCUGAAACUAGCUCCUGCUCAGCAAGCUGUGCUGUUAUCUGCGCCCAAAGCCCUCAUCGCAGCACCGAGGUCUGCGAAGCAGAAGACUGACUCCCGCCCGGUGCUCGCCACAAAACUCCUAACGCCGGCACACAACAUCACCGCCGACCUCACACAAGUCCCAACAUCAGAACCGCCUCGGACCACCUUCGCAGAAUCAGCGAGAGCUGUCAACAGCACUAGUGAGACGCCUGCCCUACUUCCGUCAGGGUCAGACUUUACUGGCUUGCAACAACAAAUCACCCUUUUCACAAAACAAAUGCUGGCAGCCACGCAGCGAAUUCCGACGAUGCAAAACUCGCUGUUUACUCUCGUGGAUACCUGCACCCGUGCAGUAAUCGGGCGCCUCGCGAUGCAGGGCAUCAUUCCGUUCGGCGGCCCCCCACUAUCACCACGCAAACAUGGUUAGCGCCCCCAGGAUUGUUCAGUGGAACUGUUGCUCGCUUAAACAGAAGAAGGCAGACUUCAUCGAAAAAUUUUAUCUUCACUCGUCAUCCGACAUGGCCGCUGCGUUUGCUCUACAAGAAAUCAACGGCCCCCUCCCUUCUUUGCCACAGUACGAUGGACUUGCUCCGAACAUUGAGACUAGUGCCCCCUUGCCUUGGAUUCGUUCCGCCCUGUACGUUCAUCGAUCAGUGUGCUUCACUCUUCUCGACACCUCACAGAGGUGCUCUGCAAUGACCAGCGUUACGGGUUGCCGCCAAUUCCUCAACGGCCCGUUUUUCUCUUCUCUGUCUAUGUGGCUCCAGACACAUCGCUAAACCGCUGGACAAGGCAGCCGCUAAACAUCCCUUUUUUUAAGCACUUCGCCCGUCUUUAUCCAAAAGACGACGUUCCCGUUUGCGGUGAUCUUAAUGCCAAACACACGCAUGGGGCUACGACAUUGACCUUCCCCACGGCACGCGGCUUCUUGCAGACCUCACAGGGCUGAAACUUUCGUUCCUCAACAUCCCAGACACCCCCACACGUAUCAAACAAUCCUCCCAACAGCAGGACACCUGCCCCGACUUUACCUGUGCUCGUUACCCUCGACGCUGGAGAUGGCAUGUCGCCGGCGACCGCCUCGGCGGUGAUCACCUCCCCAUUAUUUUACGCUACGACUUCCUAUCCGCAACCCUAUCUCACUGUCGCGCCUGCUGCGACACAUUCUUCACUAAGUGGGACAACUUCCGAGCAGCUCUUUCUUCUGUCAUGGAACUUGCUGGCUUUUCCGACAUUAUACAAGCUAUCCAGUCCGCCCACAAGUCUGCCACAAAGCGGCUAACCGUACCGGACGAUGCCGCUUUGACGAGCAUUUACUUACUGGACCGCCGCAUUCACCUGUUGGCCUGUUACCGCCGUUCUCGCAGACCACGACGACUCCUCAAACCUUCACAUAAACUCCAAAAGACUAUCUCGUGCUACACUUCGGAACUCGCUUCCAACUGCUGGACUUCCCUGUGCAGAUCCAUCUCCGGCAAUAGCCAUCUUUCGAAAGUUUGAAGGCUCCUCCGUUCUCUCCUCGGGGACCACAAACCUAGGCAAUUUGCUGCCACUGUUGCCCUUCGCAAAGGUGUCUCUCCCGAGGAGCUAGCUGAACGGGCCUCGGACGUCUUUUUUCCGCAACCAGCGCAACAUGACUCUGGAUGCUACACUUGUGUUCACCCUGUCACCAAGCUCUUGGGAUGGAUUGCCCGUUCACCCUCCACUCGCAGUGCACCUGGCCCCCAACAACGUCACAGUCGGGCAACUUCAGAACCUCCCUACGGCACUCAAGGAAACCAUACUCGCCGAGAUCAACCAGGUGACUCCAGACUACUGAAGCCCCAGGAGUCCCUGAUCGCUGCCACUUGUCUCAUUCGCCCUGGAAGCUCCCGAGAAGAUUAAAAGCUUUUCCUCUUUUUAUGCCCAAACAGCAGGGCAGAUAUGGUGGCCACUUCUUUGGUCGUUAAAUAAAUGUUUCAAAGCAAAGGUAGAUGGUCAUGAUGAAAGAAAUCAAGGACGUUAGGAUUCCUGUCAGAAGUACUCAACGCAAUAAAAUGUUGUCCAAACUUGCCAGGUUUUAAUUUUAGAUUGGUUGCACACUACACGACAGAGUAGCGAGCAUUUGAUUAUUCUUAAUUUUUAACUAGGACUGAUUAAAUUAAUUUCAAUACUUUUGGAUGUUUUAUUUUAAUACACACAUAUCCUCUAAAAAGGGCGGAAAUGUAGUGGUUAAUAAAGAAAAAUAGACGUAAUGGUGGGGCCACAGUCGACUCCUAGCAGAACUGUUUGGUGGGGCAACAGGCAGACUGAGAUUAAAGCCCCUCUAUCCUGGGAAAAGUGGCGCCAUUCAUUG
This 5222-nucleotide unclassified non-coding RNA is filed under the name Ixodes scapularis (black-legged tick). RNAcentral's name for it is "uncharacterized LOC121045639, transcript variant X3". The record is from RNAcentral. Lineage: Eukaryota; Metazoa; Arthropoda; Arachnida; Ixodida; Ixodidae.